AUUUUUUUUAAAGGUUCAUAUCUAUAACACUGAAAGAUUUUCUGUAUUGCCUAUUGUCUGCUGCUGUGGGCAGGGAAACAUUGAAGAUUAUAAACAUAAAAAAGAACAACAUAGCAAAUCUUUUCAUCUUUGCAUCUUUAAUGCUUUGUUGUUAUUAAAAAGUGCCCAGGGUUACACUGCAGAGAGGAAAAGGAUACUGCCUGAAGUUAGCUUAAAAAGCUAAAUUCUAUUUUAAGCUGGUACUGUCUGACAAGGGAUUUCAUAUUUGUUGGUUAGAGCUUUUAGCGCAAGAAAAGGGAGUAGAGUGUUGUACGGGAAGAAGAUUUAUCUGUCAGCUUUUGCUUAACAAAGUUUUGGGAAACUGACAACAAAGCAAACACACACGUUUCUGCAACUGAACAAAGAGCACAGCACUGCAUUUCUGAGAAGCAGCUAAGAUUAAACUCCUACUUCCCUUCUGCUGAAGCUGUACCAGGGCACACACUGCUCCCAGGUGCUGCAGGAAGCACACUCCAAGAUAUCAGCUGCUCCUAACACGAUGCAGGGUAUUGCAGGUCCUACCUCUGGACAUAAUCCUGGGCUCUGACAGCUUCCCACUCAUAUGCCAGAGCACUACUAGUAGCAAACAGUCAUUACUGUUCAAUUCAUAACCCUUACCUGAGCAGCUUCUGAGGUGGAAAACACUCCAACCCAAACUCAGUAAUAACAAUACAUGAACUCAGUAAUAACAAUAAUGUUCCCAGAAAAUGACGAAGCAGCAUGUGUUACUUUCAUAUAUAUCACAAAAGCAAGUAAACAGCUGAUCUAGCUAAUUAAUCAGGUAUUCUGUUUAGAUUUCAUUUUGACAGUUUACUUAAAAUAAUUGUAUUUGUUCUCAACAAAGACUGAAUUAUUUCCUGAGAUGGCUGUCACAAAUAUUUCCUCCUCAGGUCAGAGACCAGGUAAUCAAGACAGAAUGCUGCUUUUUCAGGGGCAGGACUGUAAAAACUCUUGCAAUUCCUUUACUGAUAUACAAACCAGCUAAAAAACACUUCUUAAUUAGACCUCACAUGUGAAUGGAAGUGAAUACAAGGAUUCAGCUCAAAAGUCUCAGAGCAAAAGCCUUUAGGCUCAUGAGAAAGGCAGCAUGAUGCAUUACAGCACCGAGUAAGUUGCCACAGCACAAGCACACCAAGGCUACAAUACUUCAGUGGUCACCCCAGAAUAAGCAUCUGAGGAUGGUCACUACACAGCAAUGUAAGCAUAACUUUCUUUCCCCAAGAUUGUCCCUUUGAAUGUCUGUUCACAGUCCUUUCCUGAGCAGGAAAAGUAAUUUGACUAGUUUUGGUGCAAAAUGUCUACUGCCUGAUAUUUCUUCAGAGGUAUACAAAUAAAUUCCUGAAGAUUUUUCCACACACAGAAAAUCCCACAUUGUGUCUAGAAGUACAGAUUACAGAAACUUCACCACUUAAUAAACUGCUUAUCUUCAAAAAAACCGCUGUGGCCUAUUAUCUCAGCAGUAACUGCCAAGACACAGCAAACUGUAACAGCUUCAGAAGACAGAGCAUCUGCUGAAGGAGUCCAAAGUCAUUUCCAGUUCUCAAAAACAAGAGUUAUGUCAACUCAUUUGCAGUACACAAUUAUCCAAAGCAGCCCACAGAGAGGUCCAAGAUCAUUAGUGAACAUAUAAUAAAAGAUCCCUUUUUAAGAUAAUCACUGGAAAAUUUUAUGACUUUACCAAGAUUAUUUUAAUCUUGGCUAAUCUUACUUCAAGCAGAUCUCCUUAAGUCCAGUUAUGUUCCUGAGCUCUAAAACAUCUGGUGAAAACGGAAGAAUUACUUUGACUCCUUCUAAGACCCUGGUGUCAAAAGGUCAGAUUAUUUCCACCUGACUAAUACAAGGCCACGGCAAGACUCAUACUGCAGAUCUGUUCGUCUGACCUCCUGAAGCAUUUCUGGAAGUUAGCUGAAGCGCUGCCCGCCUCGCAUAUCACCUGUGCUCCCACCAUUUCGGCAUGGGAGACCUGCACCACCAGCUGGGUAAAUCCAGCGCCUUUUGGGCUUUCGGUGCGCUGCUCUUAAAUUACCUGAUCGGCUGCUCCUGCUCGGCCAAACGUGCCCUUUGGUUAGCAAAGCGCCGGGAAGCCGAUCCGCGGCAGCCAGUGCUUAGAAGAAGAAAUGAUAGGAAAACUUCAUAUUCAAUAAGGUAUGGUGAUUCACUGCAGGACUUCUGUAGACUGUUGGCUAACUGCUUGAAAAACCUGAUGACUUACUAACCUCCAAGGUUUAUAUCCAAACAGUAUCUCCAAACUUGCCCUGCUAAGUCUUUGGUGUCAGGGCUGAUUAGAAGACAGCAGGAGAUGGAGGCACUGUUCCUCCCAACAUUUAGGUCAGCUCUGGUACUCUCUCGUGUGUAUCUAGGCCACGUCUAAUUAAUCCCAGAAUAUUCCAUCACGGCUGGAUUACCUCUGUCAGCAUCUCCCUCAGAAACCUGGCAGCAAAGAUUUUACCUCAGGUGAAGAUUUUCCCUUUUCUAAAGGCAAAUGGGAGUGGUUUUUUUCAUUGUAUAAGUACAUAAUGUUUAUGCAACAAUUUACAGAGCCCUUAGGAUGUGAAGUAGUAGAGGCAAAUAGCUUCACUUGAAAUUACUGGAAUGUUGCCAGAUUUAAACAGAGCCAAGAUUUCACCCCCAGUUGUUUUAAGGAUGAAAUUUACCAGCCUUCUCAUCUCCAAGUUUGAAUUUACUAUUCAAAAGAAUCACAUACUUUUUCCUUUUUCCAAGCCAAAUGUGAAUACUAAGUGCUUAUUCAAACUAAGAUCAGAAAAGAUGAAAGAUCUAAAAACACAAUAAAAAUUGCACCUAAAAGCCUACUGGACAUCAGCAAAAGUUAAGGAACUAAAUGGUAUUUUUGCACUUUAAGCUGCAGCCUGCAGUCUGCGUGGUCACUACCAGAAUUACAUAAACAGUUUGCAAAGACACAUAACAGCUCUUGGAGGUGCUUAAACCAGGACAAGCCAACACUGUGGAGCAGUGGAUAUGCAACUGGAAAAAUAACCCAGAGACACUUACUGAACUAAGCACGCCCUGCACCCUUGUUCUGUGUACCACUGUAGUGAAGCACAGAAUCACAGCACUAAAAACAGACUGUUGAUUAGCAAUGCAAAAUUUAGAUGCAAUUAUGCAAGGUGCUGGCUGUCUCAAGCAGUGCCACAUUUGUAUAAUGAGGGUGAAAAGUAUCGUGACUUUUGGAAUCAAUGCGCAGUAAACAUGCAUUCAUCUAUGCAAAGAGCCAGUGGAUUUUUUCUUAUACCUGAUGGUAAAGUACUACAUGACAAGACAAUUUAUUAGUUGCAGAACAAGAAAUACCAGCUAUUGGAGAUGUAUUAAUAUGAACUUUAAAACACAGGCAAAGAACUGCCCAGGCAUUUCUGCAGUGGGUGGGGUAUGUUUUUAAACUACACCCUCCACUGCUCAAAUUAUGCCCUUGCAAUCUCCUUUAGUUAAACAACAAAAGGAUUUUCACUGCAUUUUGCACAGGAUUGUUGUCAAGACCUUCAUUUAAAUGCUUCUACUGAUACCUUCAGGAUUAUGUAAUAUUAAAAAUGUAAAUAAGAUGCAGAUUUGUCACAUACUCAUUUUCCUUUCCUAUCUAAGUUGAUUACUAAAGGAGGAAAUGCUAUUCAUAUAUGCUCAUUACUAACACACUAAAAAAUCCAUAUAGCGAAACUUCAUUUUUUUAAAUGUCACUAGAAAAAUAGUCAAAUCAGUAUUAGUCAUGAGUUUUGCCUGAGUUAAGAUUUACCUACCCUCCACAUGUGCACUUGUGGGUCACUGACAUACUUAGCACCUGUGUUUGAGAAGUCAUCUUGUUUUAUCUCAUAUUAGAAGGAGGAAGGCAGAUUUUCUAGACAUAUGGUGACUGCACCUGCAGCAAAAGUACAAUAGGUGUAUUGCAAUCCAUAGCCAAUGCAGUGAAAUUGCCAAAUCCUGCUUUCUUGCAUUUAAUGUCUUAGCCUGAACUCGGAUAGAUAAAAAAAAUAUUGUCAUUUUGACAGGUGAAAAAUUUACACUGGCUGGUGAUGUGAUAUUAAAACCACUCCAGCUUAGUGUAAGCUCUCACAAUUCACAUUUUUCUUCCACCAAGGUCCCCUCCUAUGAUACUGGACUUCACCAGAGGAGAAGGACUCGCAUCUUUUUUGUCAUGGUCCAAAUCUCUGGCUGUACCUAAGAGUCCUAAGCAUAUUUUGCUCUGCCUAAAUUUCAGUCAGGCAGCUCAACUCAGAGCAGAAGGAUGAACUAGAUUUCUACUGGUGUUUUUAACUGUGAUAAGCUUCCUGAUGCUAUGCAUUAAGUAAGAUACCAAAAUAACAGUGUGGGACAGUUGCCACUAUUGAGAGAUUAUAGCAUCUUUGUCCUUUUGCUUUGGAGAUGUACCCCUUCUUGUGCUUCAUCACCCAGUUCAGACUCUGUACAAACUGUGCUUUAAUAGUGGUAGCAAGAUGAAGAUCCCAAAAUGCUUUCUAAUCUUAUAAUUCCCCAUCAUGUACAAUGCCCACUAGGCUACUAAAUUUUCACCAUCUUUUUUGUGACUAGCAUCUCAAACUCAUCAGCCUUAAGCAGCAGAGGAAAAGUUACAGUUGUUAGAGUUAUCUAUAGUCUUCAUGAUUGCAUCUUGAUAAGAGAGAAAGGUGUGCUAUUUGUGUGGAUUCUACAGGGUCUAAACGUGGAACGCUAUUGCCCUGUAUGAAGCAGAAAAACAUGAAGUUGUUAUUCAAAAAGUGUAUCAGUCAUGUUGGUUUAAAAAUGCCCUACAUUCAAGAAUGUGGAUUUUAGACUCAGCUAGGCACAAUUUUCCUUGUAACACCUACAGAAGUUAAUUAAACUUUGCAAUCCAGACAGAGAUGCACUAUUAGCUCAGACAAGAAUGAUAAAUAACUUGCACUUUCUGAGAGAAUGAGUACAUAUAGUACAUGCAAAAUGUAUGCUAUUAUUUUAAAAAGAGCUUUUAAGUUUUUAUGAGUGCCUGCAUGACUUGCAUUGUUGUUGAAAAAUUAAAACAGUUCAUUGUA
Molecule: non-coding RNA, 5048 nt
Organism: Zonotrichia albicollis (white-throated sparrow)
Lineage: Eukaryota; Metazoa; Chordata; Aves; Passeriformes; Passerellidae
Source: RefSeq, a predicted model, not a curated record